AAUGUCGGGUGAUGUUCCGCAGUUCAGUAUUCUAGUUUCACCACCAUGAGAAUACUUCACAUGCACUACCAUCUGAGACUAA
Small nucleolar RNA from Acipenser ruthenus (sterlet), 82 nucleotides. The record is from RefSeq and is a predicted model, not a curated record. NCBI's taxonomy places the organism in Eukaryota, Metazoa, Chordata, Actinopteri, Acipenseriformes, Acipenseridae.